Molecule: ribosomal RNA, 489 nt
Filed under: uncultured bacterium
Lineage: Bacteria
Description: partial 16S ribosomal RNA
Rfam family: Bacterial small subunit ribosomal RNA
Source: RNAcentral
UUGAACGCUGGCGGCAGGCUUAACACCUGCAAGUCGAACGGUAACAGGAAGCAGCUUGCUGCUUCGCUGACGAGUGGCGGACGGGUGAGUAAUGUCUGGGAAGCUGCCUGAUGGAGGGGGAUAACUACUGGAAACGGUAGCUAAUACCGCAUAAUGUCGCAAGACCAAAGAGGGGGACCUUCGGGCCUCUUGCCAUCGGAUGUGCCCAGAUGGGAUUAGCUUGUUGGUGGGGUAACGGCUCACCAAGGCGACGAUCCCUAGCUGGUCUGAGAGGAUGACCAGCCACACUGGAACUGAGACACGGUCCAGACUCCUACGGGAGGCAGCAGUGGGGAAUAUUGCACAAUGGGCGCAAGCCUGAUGCAGCCAUGCCGCGUGUAUGAAGAAGGCCUUCGGGUUGUAAAGUACUUUCAGCGGGGAGGAAGGGAGUAAAGUUAAUACCUUUGCUCAUUGACGUUACCCGCAGAAGAAGCACCGGCUAACUCCGUG